AUAUAAAAGGUAAGGGGCGUUUCCGCCCUAGUUGGAGAACUCCGCGAUUCCCCCUGGAGUGGAACUGCAGCAGCUUGAUCACCUGCCAACGACACCCUGCCGCCGAAGCCUUGCGGCGUAUUCUCCGUGUUGUAUGCCCGAGCUAGACCCGAGCUACCCGGUCUACAAGAGCUCCUCGAUAGCGAUUAUUGUUGCAACUACGAUUGCCUGCGCUGUACACGACUCUACAGUGGAUCACUUGAUGGAGCCUGGAAAUACAGAAAAAGGAUUUAAAUGCGAGGCCAGAGCCCAGGACAGAUUUUGAGGUCAUUGUGUCUGACCGCGUUGAGGACAAAACCUCGGCCCUGGCUGUGUUGGCUGCCCUGAAGGCCAGUUUCCUUGGUGGUCUGGUGGAGGUGGGUCUGUGAAAUACUUAAAAGACACCACAAAAUCCAAGCAGCGGGCCAGGACAGUGCACCAGUCCUCAACCGCAAUGCAGUUUAAGCAGCUGACUAUGCGUGAAAUAGGUUGCAUUGCCUGAUGUACGUCACCAAGGUGCUGUCACCUGUGUGGUCACUGCUGUGCUGUACGGGGCUUCUUUGUGUUUGACUGAGAAGUGUCCUCAUCUGCGGUCAUCCAGGAGAUACAGAGAGCGCUCCAGGUUAUGAUAAAAGAGAUGCUGCUGGUCUCUUUAGAAGGGGAAGAGUCCCUCAAAAUGGAUGACGAAGAGAAAACCCGGGCUGAGAAAUUCAGCUGUAAGGAGAGACAGAGACGUGUGCGGACAUCAAGCCAUGGACAGGUCUGAUGACACAAUCGAGAUGUCGGCACUGGGCCGCCCUUUCCAGCUGGGGAUGCUAUACGACUGCCGCAAGGAGACACUUA
This is a long non-coding RNA of Alligator mississippiensis (American alligator), 861 nucleotides long. RefSeq lists it as uncharacterized. Lineage: Eukaryota; Metazoa; Chordata; Crocodylia; Alligatoridae. The transcript has 3 exons. The record is from RefSeq and is a predicted model, not a curated record.